This 984-nucleotide ribosomal RNA is filed under the name human gut metagenome. Its description in RNAcentral is "bacterial LSU rRNA". It matches the Rfam family "Bacterial large subunit ribosomal RNA", at positions 1938 to 2925 of the family's 2925-position model. The record is from RNAcentral.
AACUAUAACGGUCCUAAGGUAGCGAAAUUCCUUGUCGGGUAAGUUCCGACCCGCAUGAAAGGCGUAAUGAUUUGGGCACUGUCUCAACGAGGGGCCCGGUGAAAUUGAAAUACCUGUGAAGAUGCAGGUUACCCGCGACUGGACAGAAAGACCCCAUGGAGCUUCACUGCAGCUUGAGAUUGAAUCCCGGUGACAUAUGCACAGGAUAGGUGGGAGGCGACGAAGUAAUGCCUUUGGGUGUUACAGAGCCGAUGUUGGGAUACCACCCUUAUGUUGCUGAGAUUCUAACACGGAGACUAACAACCUCGUGGACCAUCUCAGGCAGGCGGUUUGACUGGGGCGGUCGCCUCCUAAAAUGUAACGGAGGCGCCCAAAGGUUCCCUCAGGCCGGACAGAAACCGGCCGAAGAGUGCAAAGGCAGAAGGGAGCUUGACUGCGAGACAGACAAGUCGAGCAGAGACGAAAGUCGGGCUUAGUGAUCCGGUGGUACUGAGUGGAAAGGCCAUCGCUCAACGGAUAAAAGCUACCCUGGGGAUAACAGGCUAAUCUCUCCCAAGAGUUCAUAUCGACGGGGAGGUUUGGCACCUCGAUGUCGGCUCAUCACAUCCUGGAGCUGGAGUAGGUUCCAAGGGUUGGGCUGUUCGCCCAUUAAAGUGGUACGCGAGCUGGGUUCAAAACGUCGUGAGACAGUUUGGUUCAUAUCCAUCGCGGGCGCAAGAAGUUUGAGGGAGGCUGCUCCUAGUACGAGAGGACCGGAGUGGACGGAUCAACGGUGUACCAGUUGUCACGCCAGUGGCACGGCUGGAAAGCCGCAUCCGGAAAGGAUAAACGCUGAAAGCAUCUAAGCGUGAAGCCCGUCCCGAGAUGAGACUUCUCAUCAGAAAUGAGUAAGACCCCUUAAAGACGAUGAGGUUGAUAGGCUGUGAGUGGAAGUGGCGCGAGCCAUGGAGCGACGCAGUACUAAUAGGUCGAGGUCUUAGCUUA